This is a long non-coding RNA of Neopelma chrysocephalum (saffron-crested tyrant-manakin), 970 nucleotides long. RefSeq lists it as uncharacterized. NCBI's taxonomy places the organism in Eukaryota, Metazoa, Chordata, Aves, Passeriformes, Pipridae. The transcript is spliced from 6 exons. The record is from RefSeq and is a predicted model, not a curated record.
UAUUUUAUGCAUUUUGCAGUUAAAAAUUGUCAUAUCUUCACACUGAGAUAUAUCAGGCAGAUUAAUUUUUCCUCUUUUUACUUUACGCUACUGAUUUAAUCCACUUUUAAACAAUUCCUAUUAAUUUCAAACACCACAAGAAAUCUGGAGAGGGUGAUAUGCCUGAUACUGCUGAGUUGCUGCUCCUCCUUAAGAGCUCAAACCCAUAUGGCAUUUGCCUCCUGCUGAUACUUCCACACCAGGAAUCCCUUCAGCAAAGCAACCAAGACUCAAAGAGAAAUACGUAAUAUGUUCUUUGCUCUUUAUGCUCAUAUACCUAAGCCCUGUUCUCUAAAUCAGAGGCCCAGAGAAACCUCUGGUGAAGAUCAGGAAAUCCUACCUACAGUUCAACCUGGAAGCUGAAGAAUUUCCUAUUCUGGCAAAAUGAAUUUUAGGAUGGUGCCCCCGAAAAGAUUUACAAAGCUGCCUCUGUGAGAGAUGGCUGCUUCCAGAUCCCAAAGCCUCUGACUGAGUCAGUAACAGUAAUUGCUGAAUGUGAGACCUCUCAAUUUAAUUCCAGGAGUGUGUAUCACCCAAGGAAAGACCCAGUACUACAGUCAACAUAACCCCAGGAUCAUGAAGCCCUGUGGAUUGUAAAUAUGCAAUUAGCAGCUAGAGUAGAAGUAAAAGCAGAAAAUGUCAACUGUCAAGUAGCUCCAUUGAAAGACACAUGAUGCUUCAAGCUAAGACAGAAAGACAAAAGCACCUACCAACAAGGAUAAAGAAUCCAAGGGAGGGGGCAUUGCCGACUGAGCAUCUGAGUGGAUGUUGAGGUCCCAGCUCUGCUUCUUGACCACUGUGCCAGGGAUUAGCAGGCUGGGCAGUGGAUCUCUCCCUUCUCCAGAGCACCAUCUCCUCCAAUCCUGCUUCCUCUGUGCUACUCAGACAUUUGCACCAUGCUUCUCCUUCUGCCAGGAUGCAGAAAAGCAGG